Molecule: ribosomal RNA, 427 nt
Filed under: uncultured bacterium
Lineage: Bacteria
Description: bacterial SSU rRNA
Rfam family: Bacterial small subunit ribosomal RNA
Source: RNAcentral
UAGGGAAUCUUCCGCAAUGGACGAAAGUCUGACGGAGCAACGCCGCGUGAGUGAAGAAGGUUUUCGGAUCGUAAAACUCUGUUGUUAGAGAAGAACAAGUAGGAGAGUAACUGUUCCUGCCUUGACGGUAUCUAACCAGAAAGCCACGGCUAACUACGUGCCAGCAGCCGCGGUAAUACGUAGGUGGCAAGCGUUGUCCGGAUUUAUUGGGCGUAAAGCGAGCGCAGGCGGUUUCUUAAGUCUGAUGUGAAAGCCCCCGGCUUAACCGGGGAGGGUCAUUGGAAACUGGGAGACUUGAGUGCAGAAGAGGAGAGUGGAAUUCCAUGUGUAGCGGUGAAAUGCGUAGAUAUAUGGAGGAACACCAGUGGCGAAGGCGACUCUCUGGUCUGUAACUGACGCUGAGGCUCGAAAGCGUGGGGAGCAAACA